GUCAGAACAAGUGCCUUUCUCAUGGGCUUCACACCCCCAAACAAGUGGAUGGCUAGGUCUGCCCAGUUUGGACUCUGGGUCCUGACUCCUCCUCUGGGCUGUUUCCCAAUAAUGGUUACACCAACAACUUCUCACACAGGUUCUCUGGGCCCAAGCCUGGCACCACCGCUGCAGAGAUCCUAUGGGAGGGACAACGUGGAAGGUGGCUCAUUCAUUGGCUUCCACGUGAGCUGUUCCACGGGCGGGCAACUUGCACCGCCUGGGCCCAGGCUCCACGUUGGAUUGCCCUUCUCUCUGCGUACGGUAGGGAGCAUGGGGAGAUGGACUCGUUGGCUUUGAAUCUCCAGGAUGCAGAAGAUUAUAUCCAAGGGAUGACUCAUACUGUGUAUCGGCUCCAACAGGAGAAACUAUUUUGCCUGCUGACCCAGAGGCCACAGAUGGUGUUCCAAGUGCUAUCUUAAAGAGACAAUGUCAUAGUUGACACUCUCCCCCAGUCCAUUCAGUGGAUAUAUAAUGGUAGGAUAUAUGGGAGGAUAUAUAAUGUCUUGCAUCUGUCCCUGCAGUAUCAUUGAGGACAACUCCUAGUCCCCCAAAUGCCCACUAUCACACCUCUUUUUCCCUCUCCCUGCUUAAUCCAUGCUGUGCAGCAGUGCUCCAAAAUGUACUCAUCAAAUGUAAUGAAUGUGCC
This 688-nucleotide long non-coding RNA is filed under the name Dasypus novemcinctus (nine-banded armadillo). RNAcentral's name for it is "lncRNA (ENSDNOG00000050119.1)". The record is from RNAcentral. Lineage: Eukaryota; Metazoa; Chordata; Mammalia; Cingulata; Dasypodidae.